UACGGAGGUUGCAAGCGUUGUUCGGAUUUACUGGGCGUAAAGGGAGCGCAGGCGGUUAACUCAGUCUAAAGUGAAAGUCCGGGGCUCAACCCGGAGUGCUUUGGAUACUGGUUGACUUGAGUAUGUGAGAGGAGAGCGGAAUUCCAGGUGUAGCGGUGAAAUGCGUAGAUAUCUGGAGGAACACCGGUGGCGAAAGCGGCUCUCUGGCACGAAACUGACGCUGAGGCUCGAAAGCAUGGGUAGCGAACGGGAUUAGAAACCCUAGUAGU
This 269-nucleotide ribosomal RNA is filed under the name uncultured bacterium. Its description in RNAcentral is "partial 16S ribosomal RNA". It matches the Rfam family "Bacterial small subunit ribosomal RNA", at positions 524 to 794 of the family's 1533-position model. The record is from RNAcentral.